CCUACGGGUGGCUGCAGUGAGGAAUAUUGGUCAAUGGACGAGAGUCUGAACCAGCCAAUUAGCGUGAAGGAUGACUGCCCUAUGGGUUGUAAACUUCUUUUAUAUGGGAAUAAAAUGUUCCACGUGUGGGAUUUUGUAUGUACCAUAUUAAUAAGUAUCGGCUAACUCCGUGCCAGCAGCCGCGUUAAUACGGAGGAUACGCGCGUUAGCCGGAUUUAUUGGGUUUAAAGGGAGCGUAGGUGGAUUGUUAAGGCAGUUGUGAAAGUUUGCGGCUCAACCGUAAAAUUGCAGUUGAAACUGGCAGUCUUGAGUACAGUAGAGGUGGGCGGAAUUCGUGGUGUAGCGGUGAAAUGCUUAGAUAUCACGAAGAACUCCGAUUGCGAAGGCAGUUCACUGGACUGCAACUGACACUGAGGCUCGAAAGUGUGGGUAUCAAACAGGAUUAGAUACCCCAGUAGUC
This 460-nucleotide ribosomal RNA is filed under the name uncultured bacterium. Its description in RNAcentral is "partial 16S ribosomal RNA". It matches the Rfam family "Bacterial small subunit ribosomal RNA", at positions 338 to 795 of the family's 1533-position model. The record is from RNAcentral.